This is a long non-coding RNA of Drosophila elegans, 1045 nucleotides long. RefSeq lists it as uncharacterized. NCBI's taxonomy places the organism in Eukaryota, Metazoa, Arthropoda, Insecta, Diptera, Drosophilidae. The transcript is spliced from 3 exons. The record is from RefSeq and is a predicted model, not a curated record.
GACUUCAUAAUUUUCCAUUAAACAGUUCAGAGAUAUCUACGUGAUCGUAAUGGAUUUGUCAUUUCCUUGAAGAACACGUCAUUUUGAACUAAUAAUAAAUUAAAAUUUAUUAAUGAAAGCUCAAUCAAUUUGCUGUCUGGUACAAGGGCCUCCUGCUGCUGAUAUCGAUACAUGUACCUGGCUAUAUGCAAAAGCAUUUAUCAAUCGAAUGGCCUGCGGACAGCGUUGAUGACAAGGGCAAUAAUAAAGAGGCCGCUCUUUGUAGUCGAUAUUGAAAGUGACCACACACGCAGCCCGCUCCGCAUGUUAUUUACAGUUAAUUGCUGCUGGCGGCGAAUGAAUGUUAAAUUACAUUGAUAGUUCCAUCAGCCGCAGAAGUAAUUUUUUUUCAUUUUUUUCCAGAGCCCGCUUUUGUUUAUUUACUCGCCGGCGAUAUUGUUGUUUCUGCGGUUUCGCUUUCAUUGCGGCCAGAGGAGAGUAAAUGGAAAAUAAAUUGAAACUGGCAUUUAAUUAAGUUAAACCGCCGGGUCGAUGGCAAUUUAUUAAAAUAAACACAGGAAUAUAUAUUGCAGCGGGCAACACUAAUUGCAAUGCUAUCUAAGCGCAAGGACGCGGGCAAACGCAGACCCGAAAAACUCAAAUCAAAUUCAAAUUCGAAUUCAAAGUUGCAACAUGGCAACAAAGUCAACGGUGUGGCAUGGAUUUGCGUUGCGGACUUUAUUAAUUAAGUGCAAACGUGGUCACUUACAAGCCGUUUAAACUGCGUGUUAGCCAACUUGAAAUGGCCCCGCUAAUGCGCCAACAGCAGGUUCAAAACUGAAGAGAAAAAAAAAUAAAAAAAUAGCACAAAAAAGCAUUAAAAAAACAUAAGAAACACCCAAAAAAAAAAAAAUUAUGGUGUACCUGGAAAAAUUGUCAACCCGGUCACAUAAAUUUUGCCAACGGCUGCAGUCGCCGUCGCCGUCACUUGUUUACGCUUUUCGGUAUCCCAUUUAAUGGGUUAACGCUAACACUCGGCUUUUGCAGUUGCAGUUGCAGUUGCAAC